UUUUGGUUUUGUAAGAUAUAAAGUUCUGAAUAUUGGACACACAACUGCAUGACUGUAAUUAACCCACUGAACUGUACACUUAAAAACGGUUGUGAUGGUGAACGUUAUGUGUAUUCUACCAUUAUUUUUUAAAAAAUGAGUAAAUAUUUUGACCAAGCCCCAGAUUUUUAUAAGGCUAAGCUAAUUAUUUAUGUCUUAUUAUAUUCAAGUAAAGUACACAGGUGUUAAAAACAAUUUUUUUUCAAUACUCAAUUUUUGAUGAGUUCAGUCAGUCACUCUACUAACUAAUAUGAUUUAGUAAACUGUAGACAUAUAGGCUUAGGCUUAUACAGUGAUUAAUUUUUAUUUGACACUUUUGGAAAGUUCCUCCAUUGCAGCAGUCUGGCUGGGCACAGUUCAGGAGCCACUUGUCAAAAGAAACAAACUUUAUUUUUAGAACACACAGGCCACACCACACAGCUCUUCAGGAAAACCCUCAGAGCCCAACUGCCACCACCAGCUUCCCACAAGCCUCUCAACCUCCCCCACACCUCCUGCUCUUGAGGCCCAUUGGCUGGGUCACUUGGGCGGAGCCAAAAAAAAGUCCCCCAAUGAGCAUCUCCCUGGUCUGAAAGGGUGGGGAAACAACCCAAUGAGCAUCACUGCAGAGGAACCAAUCAGUUGGCAGCUAGAAGUUUGCUGGGGCCCCUUCUGCUGGGGCCACUGUGAGCCAAUCAUCAGCUGGCAGCUGGUGCUGGCAGCUGGAAGUUUGCUGGGGCCCCUUCGGCUGUGGCUCUCAACACUCCAUCAUAGUAUAACGUUUAACUCUGAGGCAUUGUCAAGUUGUUUGCACUAGAAAAGGGAAAUUG
This 848-nucleotide long non-coding RNA is filed under the name Marmota monax (woodchuck). The record is from RNAcentral. Lineage: Eukaryota; Metazoa; Chordata; Mammalia; Rodentia; Sciuridae.